UACGAAGGGGGCUAGCGUUGUUCGGAAUUACUGGGCGUAAAGCGCACGUAGGCGGAUCUUUAAGUUAGAGGUGAAAGCCUGGAGCUCAACUCCAGAACUGCCUUUGAUACUGGGGAUCUAGAGUUUGGAAGAGGUUGGUGGAACUCCUAGUGUAGAGGUGAAAUUCGUAGAUAUUAGGAAGAACACCAGUGGCGAAGGCGGCCAACUGGUCCAAUACUGACGCUGAGGUGCGAAAGCGUGGGGAGCAAACAGG
RNAcentral lists this ribosomal RNA (253 nucleotides) under uncultured bacterium. RNAcentral describes it as "partial 16S ribosomal RNA". It matches the Rfam family "Bacterial small subunit ribosomal RNA", at positions 524 to 776 of the family's 1533-position model. The record is from RNAcentral.